GCAUAUCAAUAAGCGGAGGAAAAGAAACUAACAAGGAUUCCCCUAGUAACGGCGAGUGAAGCGGGAAGAGCUCAAAUUUGAAAUCUGGUAGCCUUCGGUUGCCCGAGUUGUAAUCUAGAGAAGUGUUUUCCGUGCCGGCCCAUGUACAAGUCCCUUGGAACAGGGCGUCAUAGAGGGUGAGAAUCCCGUCCUUGACAUGGACCCCCGGUGCUUUGUGAUACACUUUCAACGAGUCGAGUUGUUUGGGAAUGCAGCUCAAAAUGGGUGGUGAAUUCCAUCUAAAGCUAAAUAUUGGCGAGAGACCGAUAGCGAACAAGUACCGUGAGGGAAAGAUGAAAAGCACUUUGGAAAGAGAGUUAAACAGUACGUGAAAUUGUUGAAAGGGAAACGAUUGAAGUCAGUCAUGCUCUUGGGACUUACCUCCCUUGAGUGGGGUCAACAUCAGUUUUGAUCGAUGGAUAAAGGCACGGGGAAGGUAGCACUCUCGGGUGAACUUAUAGCCUCGCGUCAUAUACAUUGAUUGGGACUGAGGAACGCAGCAUGCCUUAUGGCCGGGAUUCGUCCACGUACAUGCUUAGGAUGUUGACAUAAUGGCUUUAAACGACCCGUCUUGAAACACGGACC
Molecule: ribosomal RNA, 624 nt
Filed under: Naganishia albida
Lineage: Eukaryota; Fungi; Basidiomycota; Tremellomycetes; Filobasidiales; Filobasidiaceae
Description: eukaryotic LSU rRNA
Rfam family: Eukaryotic large subunit ribosomal RNA
Source: RNAcentral